Non-coding RNA from Nicotiana tabacum (common tobacco), 3255 nucleotides. The record is from RefSeq and is a predicted model, not a curated record. Lineage: Eukaryota; Viridiplantae; Streptophyta; Magnoliopsida; Solanales; Solanaceae.
AUGGAACACUUUCCUUUCUUCAUCUGAAACAAUCAAAAACCUAUAUUUGUCCUUCUUUAGCUCAAUCUUCAGCUCAUUCAAGAACUCACUACCUUCAAAUCUUGUUAGAAAAACUAAGAUCCAUCUCGAAGUUAAAGAUGAAAUGGAGACCAAGUUCAUAUUUUGGAGCCAAUGGCGUCACUGCCUUCAAAUCUUGGUAAAAAAAAAAAGAUCCAUCAAGUAGUUAAAGAUGAUUGUAACACCUCAAUGUAUUCCUAAAUCCUAACACCUAAAGGGGUUGUUGGUGUUUCUGGUUUUGUGCCUAAUUUAUUCUUCACCAGAAGCACCAAUUUGCAAUUAAUAUUCAAACUUUACAAGAAAUUGAACUUGUUUCUAUGUUGGUUACGACAAGUCACAGUCCUUCAGCUUCAGCUUCAUCUUCCUCAUGCUCUUAUGGUGGAAAUAUGGGAGAAAAAUCUGAUCUUGGAUUUGGGGAUUUGGAUAAUUUGUUGCCUGAACUUGCCGGCUCCGACCAGACCCUUUUCCGGUGUAUCUCCGGCGAUAUGGAGGACCCAUCAAUCAGCUUAAAACAAUUACUACAAGGAGGAAAUGAAAAUGCUGAUUUGAGUUGUGGAGUUUCUGUUCAAAGCUCUGGUUUUGAGGUCUCAGCUGCAGGUUCUUUAGCUCAUACAGAUAAUGUCUCUUUUUCUAAUUCAAAUCUCCUUCUAAAUGCUAACAUUGAGAAAAUUGGAUCUGUCAUAAACUCAGACAACAAGCAAAAUGUUAACUUUGAACACCUCAAUGUCAAUCUUUUGGCAAGAAAUUUACCUCCUGCUUUGAGUUUUCAAGAACAACAAUCAGAACAGAAUUCUGCUUAUGUUAAUAUGUUAGGCUCAUUAUCUUAUGAUGUAACUCAAGAACAGCCCCCGCCCAAGCGCCACAAUUCCGGUACGCUUGGUUCAAGCUUAAGCGCACUAUUGCCUGAGGUUCCAUUUUUUGACUCCAGUGGUGAGUUAUUGCUGAGGAAACAACCAUUGGGACAAACGCGGCAGCAAGUCAAUUUUCUGCCUUUUCACCAGUUUCAGCAAAAACCAUUAAUUGUACCUAAGCUUGAGGCAGCUGUUGGUGGUGCUAAUGGUAAUUUGAUGGUUCCUUGUCAUCAACAGCAGGAACAACAGUUUAUUUAUGACCAGAUUUUUCAGGCCUCUGAAUUAUUACUGGCCGGACAAUUCUCAAACGCGCAAAUGAUAUUGGCGCGGCUCAAUCAACAGCUCUCUCCCCUUGGCAAACCCUUCAAGAGGUCUGCUUUUUACUUCAAAGAGGCUCUGCUAUUGCCUUUCCUUUUGCCUUGUACAUCCACAUCUUUUCCACCAAGAAUUCCCACGCCAUUUGAUUGUGUGCUUAAGAUGGAUGCUUAUAAGGCCUUUUCUGAAAUAUCUCCACUUAUUCAGUUCAUGAAUUUCACCUCCAAUCAACCUAUUCUUGAAGCUCUUGGGGAUGCCAAGCAAAUUCACAUAAUAGAUUUUGACAUUGGCUGUGGUGCUCAAUGGUCCUCAUUUAUGCAAGAACUCCGGAGCAGCAAUAGAAAGGCAACUUCUCUAAAGAUUACUGCCUUUGUAUCUCCUUCAACCCACCACUCCGUUGAGAUUGGCAUCAUGCACGAAAGUUUAACGCUGUUUGCUAAUGAUGUGGGAAUCAGAUUUGAGCUGGAAGUUAUUAACUUGGAUUCCUUUGACCCUAAGACUUAUCCCUUAUCCUCCUUGAGGUCAUCUGAGUGUGAGGCUAUUGCUAUUAAUUUCCCCAUCUGGUCUAUUUCAAGUUGUCUAUUUGCAUUUCCUUCACUUCUUCACUGUAUGAAGCAGCUUUCACCAAAAGUUGUUGUAUCAUUGGAACGUGGAUGUGAACGUACUGAACUCCCCUUAAAGCAUCACCUCCUCCACGCCCUCCAAUAUUAUGAGAUACUCUUAGCCAGUAUUGAUGCUGCUAAUUUAACUCCAGAAAUUGGGAAAAAAAUUGAGAGGUCUCUUCUCCAGCCUAGCAUUGAGAACAUGGUCUUGGGGCGCCUCCGAUCCCCUGAUCGAAUGCCCCCGUGGAGAAACCUAUUUGCUUCUGCAGGAUUUUCACCUAUUGAAUUUAGUAAUAUGGCUGAAAUUCAGGCUGAAUGUGUUGUUAAGAGAACUCAGGUAGGAGGAUUUCACGUUGAGAAGCGCCAGAUGUCGCUUGUGCUAUGCUGGAAACAGCAGGAGCUCUUGUCAAUUUUGGCUUGGAGGUGCUGAGGAGCUUUAUCUAAUGAAAGCCAGAAGACUCUUUCCAUUUAACAGCAACAUUUCCUAGAGGUAUAUUGAGGUCGGAUAAGAACCAGAUUAGAGCUAUGCACCGGACAGAUCUUUUCUACAGGUCUAUACUCUUAUAAGAAUUUACACUUUGAAACAAUAUUCUAAACUUCAGUUUUUUUCGCUUCCAAAAGAUCGUCUUUAUUUUGCUUCCAGGUAGAGUAAGGAAUCUAGUUUGACUGAACUCCAGUAGUCCUUCUAUUAUCUGUAACUUGUAGUAUGUUCAUAUGAUUUAUGAAAUUUAGAAAUCUUGUAGUUUUAUUAUCAUGGAUAUAGAGGAUUAUAAAUUAUUCAGCCGAGUUGGCUUUGAGGCAUAGUAAGUUGGCGAAAUACUCCUAUGCUUACUGCAUUGCUCAGGAAAAUAGGCAUGUCUACGCGUUGCAAUAAUAAACAAAGUAGCCACAGAAAUCUCACUAGCUGUUGUCGCUAUGUUGCUUAUGUUGCUUUUGGUGUAAGUCACUGUCAACCUAUGUUGCUCGGACUUUGCAAAAAAUGUUACCGGGUGCGCGUUGGAUCCUCCAAAAGUAGUGCAUUUUUGGAGGAUCCGAUACGGGUGCGACAACAUUUUUGGAGAGUCCGCGCAACAUAGCUGUCAACACACAUAGUAUUUGUGUGCUGCUAAUGGAGGAAUGAAAUAAUUCUUCUUCAGUCAAUGCAUUUUGGACUGGGGAAGAAUUCUUACUAGUUUGGUGGUUGUCAAAGUAUAGCUGAUAUUGGUUUAUUACUUUCACUGUAUUAAUGUAUAUGCAAUUUUUGCCAGUUAUGAAGCUGUAGUAAAUUCUCUAAGGAGAGCCAUUUCAUAUUUUGAUUAAACAGCUUUUGACUACUGAUUAGCUCUUGUCCUGACAUAAUCUAACAUCCUUCCCACCCAAAGAACAAUUGGGCCAUGUUAUGGUCUUGACUUUUUUGUUUCAGUCCUCUCUAGACAUGUGUGUUCAUGUUU